UACGUAGGCAGCGAGCGUUGUUCGGAGUUACUGGGCGUAAAGCGUGCGUAGGCGGUCCCACAAGUCUGUUGUGAAAUCUCCCGGCUCAACUGGGAGGGUGCGGUGGAAACUGUGGGGCUGGAGUGUGGGAGAGGUAGGCGGAAUUCCUGGUGUAGCGGUGAAAUGCGUAGAUAUCAGGAGGAACACCUGCGGUGUAGACGGCUUACUGGACCACUACUGACGCUGAGGCACGAAAGCGUGGGGAGCGAACAGG
Molecule: ribosomal RNA, 253 nt
Filed under: uncultured bacterium
Lineage: Bacteria
Description: partial 16S ribosomal RNA
Rfam family: Bacterial small subunit ribosomal RNA
Source: RNAcentral